CACAGAAGAAGCACCGGCUAACUCCGUGCCAGCAGCCGCGGUAAUACGGAGGGUGCGAGCGUUAAUCGGAAUUACUGGGCGUAAAGGGUGCGUAGGUGGUUAAUUAAGUUAUCUGUGAAAUCCCUGGGCUCAACCUGGGCAGGUCAGAUAAUACUGGUUAACUCGAGUAUGGGAGAGGGUAGUGGAAUUUCCGGUGUAGCGGUGAAAUGCGUAGAGAUCGGAAGGAACACCAGUGGCGAAGGCGGCUACCUGGCCUAAUACUGACACUGAGGCACGAAAGCGUGGGGAGCAAACAGGAUU
This 300-nucleotide ribosomal RNA is filed under the name uncultured Legionella sp. Its description in RNAcentral is "bacterial SSU rRNA". It matches the Rfam family "Bacterial small subunit ribosomal RNA", at positions 480 to 779 of the family's 1533-position model. Lineage: Bacteria; Pseudomonadati; Pseudomonadota; Gammaproteobacteria; Legionellales; Legionellaceae. The record is from RNAcentral.